This 244-nucleotide unclassified non-coding RNA is filed under the name plant metagenome. RNAcentral describes it as "partial contains small subunit ribosomal RNA, internal transcribed spacer 1, and 5.8S ribosomal RNA". The stretch from base 196 to 244 matches the Rfam family "5.8S ribosomal RNA", at positions 1 to 49 of the family's 154-position model. The record is from RNAcentral.
UCUCCGUUGGUGAACCAGCGGAGGGAUCAUUACCGAGUUAUCAACUCCCAAACCCCUGUGAACAUACCCGAACGUUGCCUCGGCGGGACCGCCCCGGCGCCCACUGCGGCCCGGAACCAGGCGCCCGCCGGAGGACCCAAACCCUUGUUUAAACCAUAGUGGCAUCCUCUGAGUCUCACAAGAAAAAUGAAUCAAAACUUUCAACAACGGAUCUCAUGGCUCUGGCGUCGAUGAAGAACGCAGC